UCUCCUGUGGCGCAAUCGGUGGCGCGUCUGACUGUUAAUCAGAAGGUUGUUAGUUCGAUCCUAACUGGGAGAG
Molecule: transfer RNA, 73 nt
Filed under: Rhizoctonia solani
Lineage: Eukaryota; Fungi; Basidiomycota; Agaricomycetes; Cantharellales; Ceratobasidiaceae
Description: tRNA-Asn
Rfam family: tRNA
About the family: Transfer RNA (tRNA) molecules are approximately 80 nucleotides in length. Their secondary structure includes four short double-helical elements and three loops (D, anti-codon, and T loops). Further hydrogen bonds mediate the characteristic L-shaped molecular structure. tRNAs have two regions of fundamental functional importance: the anti-codon, which is responsible for specific mRNA codon recognition, and the 3' end, to which the tRNAs corresponding amino acid is attached (by aminoacyl-tRNA synthetases). tRNAs cope with the degeneracy of the genetic code in two manners: having more than one tRNA (with a specific anti-codon) for a particular amino acid; and 'wobble' base-pairing, i.e. permitting non-standard base-pairing at the 3rd anti-codon position.
Source: RNAcentral